AGUCCCGUUCGGACGCCCGCCGUAGAGGCCCCGCCCCACUGCGGUCUUUGUGGCCUUGUUCGGUCGUGGACGUAGGACUGCGUUGCGUCCUCGUAGAAAAGGUGGGGUUCCGUGUGGAAACCGGCCAGGUGUUUCGUCGGCAGCCAGAAUCAGGGAAAGAAUUCAGGACGCGAGCCAGAGAAAGUAGAAAGGCGGGCGUACCGAGCAGAGAGGAUACGCAAGAACAGCCUCUCCGCAGACAGUAGGGACUCUCAGCAAGCGAAGGAAGAGAGACCCCCACCACGUCUAGAGGUUGAGCUUAUUUUAUACCUGUUUGUAGUUUCUAUGGGAACUUGCUGGUCUGAGGAAACGGGGAGUGGAAAUAAACGAUGAUUCGAAGACCAAGCACAAAGCCAAAGCAGUUUUAACUACUUUAUACUAUUUAGUGGAGAGUACUGGGAGUAAAGUUCUGCAAUUCCCAAGAGUAGAGUACUUAGUAUCCUGAAUGAAAACUGUGGAAAUGUGAGGACAUGCCUUAUAAACUGAUGUCACAUGGAUAAUGAUGCACCAAAGAAAAGUAAAGAAUUGAAAACUUCUAGAAGCAGUGAUGAAAUAUCCUCAAUUGAAGACGAUGAUCCUGGUCACUAUGCAAUGUCUCCUGUCUCCUUCCAGUUUUCUCACUUGUAUGUAAGGUAUGAUACCAAUUUUACUCUUUGUUUGGAGGAGUUGUGAAGAGCACCGGAAGAAGGGGAAACUAAGCAUCUACUGUGGACAUACAUUGCUGUCUGGCCCAGGGAGAUGGUGAUGGACCUGUUCUCUGACAGUCUGCCUAUCAAAGCAAGGACCUAAGGAACAAUAGACAUAAAGAAAGGUAGAUUUCCAAAGGAGGAGUCGCUGGCCCAUAUGGUAAUUC
Molecule: long non-coding RNA, 892 nt
Organism: Molossus molossus (Pallas's mastiff bat)
Lineage: Eukaryota; Metazoa; Chordata; Mammalia; Chiroptera; Molossidae
Exons: 8
Source: RefSeq, a predicted model, not a curated record